RNAcentral lists this non-coding RNA (45 nucleotides) under Schistosoma mansoni. The record is from RNAcentral. Lineage: Eukaryota; Metazoa; Platyhelminthes; Trematoda; Strigeidida; Schistosomatidae.
AUCCAGCUGAUGAGUACCAAAUAGGACGAAACGCGCGUCCUGGAU